AGAGUUUGAUCAUGGCUCAGAAUGAACGUUGGCGGCGUGGAUUAGGCAUGCAAGUCGAGCGAGAACCCAGCAAUGGGGGACAGCGGCGAAAGGGACAGUAAUGUGUAGAUUAUCUGCCCUCGGGUCCGGGAUAGCUGCGGGAAACUGCAGGUAAUACCGGAUAACAUCUCCGGAUCAAAGGUGUGAUUCCGCCCGAGGAUGAGUCUGCAUCCUAUUAGCUUGUUGGUGGGGUAAUGGCCUACCAAGGCUUUGAUGGGUAGCGGGUGUGAGAGCACGACCCGCGUCAUUGGGACUGAGACACUGCCCAGACACCUACGGGUGGCUGCAGUCGAGAAUCUUCGGCAAUGGGCGCAAGCCUGACCGAGCGACGCCGCGUGUGGGAUGAAGGCCUUCGGGUUGUAAACCACUGUCAGAGGGGAUGAAAUGCAGGUGGGUUCUCCCACUUGUUUGACAUAGCCUCAGAGGAAGGACGGGCUAAGUUCGUG
Molecule: ribosomal RNA, 485 nt
Filed under: uncultured bacterium
Lineage: Bacteria
Description: bacterial SSU rRNA
Rfam family: Bacterial small subunit ribosomal RNA
Source: RNAcentral